CUUUCCUUUCAAUGAUGUUUACCGUUUAGCUCACAYAUUGUUCCUGUAUCAGCUUGUGAGAGAGUUUUUCUCAGAAAGUCAGUGCUGAGACAUGUGUUGCUUAUCAGAGACGUGACCCUGUGUUGCCCCCUCACCUUCCCCUGUCGAGGUCUCACCAGCAGUUGUCACAAUAAAGAAACAGCUUUAGGCUUUAGUUUUAGCUUCAGAUGCUAGACUGGCAGUAAUGUUCGCAGCCAUGUUCCUCUCUACAUUUACAACUCUGCAACGUGGCUCGUUUGCAAGAUUUUGCACUUAUCCACAGGUUACCAUAUUUCAGCUUUGGGACAAAAAAUCAGAAGCAUUAUGAGGUUUGAGAAAGUUUUUUUUAACCCAAAUAACUAAUAAACAGCAAUGGUUGAGUGAUUAAAGGUUGCAGUUAUGAAACAGACCACGACUGACCCUGGCACUAAAAGUAAAACACAGUUGUUGAUAAAAUGUCGUGCUCCAUAAGGGAGGAGGAAAGAUAUAUAGUAUUAUGGCGUCAUCUUUUAAAUCUACAUCCUUCUCCAGACAAGCGCAUUCCCCUCGCCCGCUGUGAGUACCGCCUCAGUACACACAGAGCUGCCCUUCCAGAGGAGAAAAAGAAUCCAGAUGGUUGCGUCGUGCUGCGAGGGGCCAUAAAUGGACUGGUUUUCACAUGGAGGGGCCUCCGGGGUUCCCUCUGAGGCUCUCAGCUUACAGUCYGGGGAGGAGAAUCACCCUACUGUUCUGCUUUAAACUGAGCGAGCAGAGAAAUGUCAUUAAUGCUUUAACUUUUGUCAAUCUGAGGGAAGUUUUCCUGCAACAACUCAGGCUGAAGYAGUCUCCUGGAUAAAAUGUUUCAACAAAAGAAGAACCCAAACAGGACCUGACUUAGAUUCACAUGUUCUGAUUGUUGAAUGACAACAGGUGUGCUGACUGCUAACAGAAUCCAGAGUGUCGGGUCUCGGCUGUUGAGGAACGACUGCUUGCUGGAGGCAUGGACUGUUGAAAUUUAAAACSACUGGAUCUGAUUUUACCCAAUCACUAACGUUUGGCCAUGGCAGGGGCGGGGUCACAGGGGCUUUGGCCCCUGCUGAAACCUGAUUGGACCCCUGAAGUGCCCCUGUCCUGUCCUCAUCUGUCCUUUGCCUGAGAGCAAUGACGAGCAGCUGAGUGGCAGAGGCCCUUGUCUCAUGAAGGGGGCUUGUUUCCAUCAGGGGGUGAAACAAACCCCUCCGUUUAUCACCCUGUCAGAGCUGAUAACUAUUCAACCAAACCAGAGGAGUUCCUGCCGACAGUCAAAGGCCUUUUCUUUGAGGGAAUCCAGCUCUGGUUUUGCAACAGGGAGGGACUUUCCCAUCAGUCAGCAGGGAGACACAAGGAACCUCCUCCAAGUUUUACUUUUUUUUUUUGUUGCUCCUUCCCCCCACUGUGUUUUUAUUACCUUUAUUAAAAACUACAUGUUCCAA
Austrofundulus limnaeus is the source of this 1469-nucleotide long non-coding RNA. RefSeq lists it as uncharacterized. The record is from RefSeq and is a predicted model, not a curated record. The transcript has 3 exons. NCBI's taxonomy places the organism in Eukaryota, Metazoa, Chordata, Actinopteri, Cyprinodontiformes, Rivulidae.